Temnothorax curvispinosus is the source of this 243-nucleotide long non-coding RNA. RefSeq lists it as uncharacterized. NCBI's taxonomy places the organism in Eukaryota, Metazoa, Arthropoda, Insecta, Hymenoptera, Formicidae. The transcript is spliced from 3 exons. The record is from RefSeq and is a predicted model, not a curated record.
AAUCCUAUAAUUGAUCAGUUGAACGAUGCUUGUUCGCUCUGUAGACGACAGAAGAUCUUAACGCCAACUUCGGACAAUUCCAGAUGCUACAUCGUCUUCAAGGAUAAAAGGGGGAAAUACUUUUGUGAAUUUUGCGCCCCGCUGGACAGUAAAAAGAUAACAAGCAGGCUCGAAGGCACGGAUUUAAGAAAGCUACGGUGUACCAAUUGUCGAUUGCAUUUCCGUGAUCGAGGCGUCAGAACU